GAACGCACAUUGCACUCUAUUUCGAUAGAGUAUGCCUGUUUGAGAAUCUAAUGUAUUCUUUUUUCUAUAUAUAAUUUUCAUUGUAUUUAGGAAAGAUUUGUGGAAUCUCUAAUUUUUUAGAGUUCUAUUAAUUAUAUAGCUUGGUAAUUAAUCUUGGCUGAAAAGUAUUUGAAUGGAACUUUUAGUUUCUCCCUAUACAGAAUAAGUCGUUUAAUAAAAUCCAAGUUCAAAAACACUAUGAAAAAGAUUUAUUAUUAACCAAACUCUGGUGUAAAAACCAAUUGUUUGGCGAAAAUAACCUUUUUGAACCAUGGUCUCAAAUCAGGCAGGAUUACCCGCUGAACUUAAG
RNAcentral lists this unclassified non-coding RNA (349 nucleotides) under uncultured fungus. Its description in RNAcentral is "sequence contains 5.8S rRNA gene". The record is from RNAcentral. Lineage: Eukaryota; Fungi.